This 3797-nucleotide long non-coding RNA is filed under the name Homo sapiens (human). RNAcentral's name for it is "HSALNT0272620". Lineage: Eukaryota; Metazoa; Chordata; Mammalia; Primates; Hominidae. The record is from RNAcentral.
GAUCAAUCGUCUUGUCCUCAUAACAAGGUCUCUAGAUAAAAUAGCAGUGGCCAACACAAAAGGUUAAUGGCUUACUGAGCUUUUAUUUUUGAGGACAUUCUGACCUGUUUAAAACCAGACAAGUGGUGAUUAGCAGUGUACUUUCUGUGAUUCACAAAGCUUAGACAAUAAUGGAAACAGGCUAUUUGAGCAAUCAGUUAUCUAAAUGAAUCUAAAAGGUUUUGCUGUGAAGGUUAAUAUUCCAUGUUUUAUCUAACAUUUGCCUUGUACCCUCCGCCAAAAUUGGUUUAAUGUGCAGUUCUGAAACUGGAAUCUAAAGUGCAGAGGUUAUUGUGGAAAGCUCAAUCAUCUAGCUGCUACAUAAGUCUGAAUAUUUGUAAAGGUUUUAGAACCCAAAUGUUAGAUUUUAAGUUUAUCAUCCACCAUCUUUUAUGCAUAUCUUACCAGCUCUGAAUAGGGGUGAGAUAAGGAACAGAGAUCACAGACUCGAGCUGAGGACCCUAGAGAGACUAUCUCAUGCUCAGGUUUAAGAGAAAUUCAGGGGACUCAAUGUUGAUCUGUAUUCUGUUCAGGGGACAAAGUUACCCAAAGGGAAGCCAUAAACCCCAGGGCCUUAGCAGUUAAUCUCACUUCCACCUAGUUCAAUGGUGUGUUACGGUCCUCCCAAGAAAAAAUAACAGUAGGAUGUGUGUGUCUACAUGUAAGUAUGUGUAUACACAUACCUACAGGAUGCAUGAAGGAAAUACAUACAUACACACACACACACACACACACACAGAGAGAGAGAGAGAAGGAAGAGGUGGAAGAGUGAGGGAGAGAGAGGCAAAGAGGAAUGAGAGAGAGAGGAGAGAAAGGGAAAGAGAGGGAGGAGAGAGAAAAAAGAGGGAGAGUGAGGGGGAGAGAGAAAGAGGAGAGUAGAGAGGGAGAGAAAAGAGAGAGAAAAGUGGGGAGGGAGAAAAGGAGGAGGAGUAGAGAGGAGAGAGGCCAGAAGGGAGAUAAGCGGGGAGAGAGAGAAGAGAGAGAAGCAAGGAGAGGGAGAGAAAUUGGGGGACAAUAAAGAGAGAGAGAGAGAAAGGGAGGGAGGGAUACAGAGAGACAGAGCGAGAGAAGAGGCAGAUUUUAAAGCAUUGGCUCACAUGAUUGUAGGGGCUAGCAAAAUCAAAAUCUGCUGAGCAGGCUGGAGACCCAGGGAAGAGCUGAUCUUGCAACUUGAAUGUGAACUCAGGUUGAAGGCAGAUUUCCCUCUUCCUCUGGUAGACAUCACCCUUUUCUCUUAAGGCCCUCAACUGCCUGGAGGAAGCUCACCCACAUUAUGGAAGCUAUGGAAGAAAAGGACAGAAUUGUUACUGUUCUCUUUAGAUGGCUCUCCCUAGUCCCAUGUAGGUUUCGGUUUAUUCAUGAAGUUCAAUAAUCCUGAUACCUGUUAUGCUUGUUUUGGAGUGCCGUCAUCUUCUGGACAACAUCUAAUUGGAUGCUACCACCUUCUGGUCACUUUGUUCACCAUGACUAUUUGUUGGAUUCAAUAUUAUAUUUUUCAUGUCUAUCCUCUAUCACUGAUACAUUUUUAUUCAUAUUAUUUUCUUUCUUUCUUCACUUUAAAAUCUUUUCUGAUAUUAUUUCUUCCCUCACUUUAUUUUCUAAUUCUACCAAUACCUUUUCUUAUCUCAAUAUAGUGACUUAUUUAAUUUGGUAUUGAGUUGAUCUUCUUAAUUUUUUUUUGGUAUUAAGCAAUACAUUCUAAAUUUUUCUUCUGGUUCCUAGUGUAAAUCAUUUUCAGAAAUAUUGUUCUGUGUAUGUUUUUAGUAAUAUAUUAAUCUUCUUUGUUGUUGCAAAACAUUUACAACAGUCCCAUGCUGUGGUGUGUUUUUUAUUCUUUUUGGGAAAGUUCAUUCAAGGUUACUAUCUUUCAUUAAGUCUUUUUUGUUAAUCUGGGAAAUACCCGAAUCCAUUCCAUCUCCAUAUCUGGAUUAAAACCUGCAAUUUCACCACCAUCUUAUUCUGAAUUUUUUCCUUUUCCUUUCCUUCGGUGCUUUGAAAUAGCUCCAACUAUGCCAAAGAUAUUUUAAAAAUAAAUGACUUACUUCACAAAAAUACAGAUAUCUAUAUAUUUGUGGAAAAGGCUGAUUGGCUUAGGUAAAAUUGUUACUAAUUAUGCAAUUUGUACUAAAUGGAAUUUAAAAAUCAAUGGUAAAACCCAGGAAACUUGUAAAAGACCUUAGAUUUAGAAAUAUUUGCUUGAGGCAAUUCGCUAGGCUUCUGAGGGCGAAUAUUUCAAAUCAUGUUAUUGCUACUGCAGUCUCUCUUCAUCACCAUACUAAAGGUGUCUAUAAGCCAUUAUUUCUUAUCACAAAAGCUGCCAAUAUAAAAAUCAAAGCACAACAAAUAGCAAAACACACUGUGUCUCCUGCUGUAAAACCUGCUGUGGAUGCAGAUGUGUGUCCACUUUGAAGUGUCAAGAACUAACCAGAAAUUUUGAAAUGUUUGUGAAUAGAUGCUUAAUUUUACCUAAAACCAAAUAAGCAAUACUGUAGUUGAUUCGCUUAUAAAAGGUAACCUAUUAUUGGCUUACAACCAAUAAAUGAUUAUGUUAUAAAAGGUAAUCAUUCAUUGGAUUACAACCAAUAAAUGUUCUAAGAUAUACAAAAAGCAGACUUCCUAUCACAAAGGAAACUUUAUUAGAAAUCUCAUUCUAAGCUCCUAUUCUUAGAAUAUUAUGAUCACAACAAUGCAGAAUCAACAAAUACAAGUGGUUUUUUUUCUGAGUGUCUGAGUUUUUAUGUCUUCCAAAAAUAAGGUAUAAAUUCUAAAAACUGAAAUCUUUUCAUUGAUUUGCAAGUACUUAACAAUAAAAUGUUUGAAAGUGACUCUCAAACUUGUAUGGAGAGGAAGAGUAUUUACAUGCAAGGACAAAGAAGGAAACUAUAUAUAAGAAGAUGAAGUCAAAUAUACAGAAUGUGUUGGAAUUCACAAUCUGGGAUAAAAAUAACUGGCACCUUAGGUCACUAGAUAGUCUAUAGCCAGAGCAACUAGAACUGUAUGGACGUCAAGAGAAGACUCCUACCCCACAGACUCAACAGGAGCCAGAGGCAUCACUUUCACCAGCACUGCACAAGCACGCUGGUUGGUUUCCACACCUCUCUGCCAGCAACAACCGUAAAAACUGUUACCUGUCUGAUGAUAAAUAAAAUUAAAAUAGUAUGGAUUUUUUUAUUUUGAAUUUUCCUAACUACGAGUGGAUUUGAAUAUCUUAAUAUGUUUGGACUAUUGUACUUCUCUUACAUAGAAUGUCUACUUAUAAUCAUCUGCCUAUUUUUCUAUUGAGUUAUAUAACUUUCUAUAUAUUAAGACAUUAAUAUUCCUGUAUUAUCCCCAUUCGUCUCUGGGUUUCUGUUCAUGAUAGAGGUCUCCAUUGUGUGUGUGUAUAUGGACGUGUGUGUGUAUAAUGUGUGUGCAUUUGUGACUGUGUUGUGUGUGGAUGUGUAUGUGUACUCCCUUGGUUUUUCUUUUUUGCAGAGGGCUUUUUUAAUUUUCAUUUUGCUUUGUUUGUUUUUUCACUUCACUUUUUAUACUUAAACUGUUAAUAUUUCUGCAAUACUUUUUACAGAUAGUUUAACUGAAGAUCCACUUUUAUUGUUUUCUAGAUGGACGGUCAGUUGUAUUGGCACUAUUUCUCAAAUAAUUUUUUUUCACCAUGUUGUACUAUGAAGUUUACCUUAUGUUAUAUUCUCAAAAGUACUCAGAUGUGUUUCUAAAUUCUUGUUUAUAUUCCUUUUUAUUUUUCUAUUCUUAAACCAAAA